This 998-nucleotide long non-coding RNA is filed under the name Zostera marina. RNAcentral's name for it is "long non-coding RNA (ZMAR_LNC004168)". Lineage: Eukaryota; Viridiplantae; Streptophyta; Magnoliopsida; Alismatales; Zosteraceae. The record is from RNAcentral.
GUUGAUGAGAGCGCAGUGGGUGUUAAAUAAAACACAGAGACGAAUGGGCCCCUGAAUUAAAAGCAAAGCGCACCUAGACGUCACUGUAUUUUACUCUUUCUGCCACUGACGAAGAUAGAACGAAAACAGCUUUGGAUGUCAAGUGAAAGCGGUCUGAUAUGAUAUGACCCCACGACUUUAGGCUACUGUGUAUUAUCAAUUGCCUUCCUGAUGUCAUGUGACUAAAUGGUGAGUUUUCUUCUUCUUAAACUCUAUUAUAACUAACUUAACUAUAUUAUAACCGUCAACACUUGUUAUUGACAAAAUUAAAACCUAAUGAUCCGUUUAUUUUCAUUUAAAUAAAUAUUAUUUGUAUUUAUAUGUAUUAAGUAUUAACUCCGACAGAUGACACGCCGGCUCCACGUGAAGACUGAACGGGAGGCGCUAGAAGAGGGAGGAGAGGAGUUAAUUGGUAAUUAUAGAUGGCGGGGAUGAAGCAUUGAGGGGCGGUAGUGGUGUGUCAGUGGGGAAAGUUGGAACGUGGAUGGUGGGUGUUUUUCCCAAGAUUUUGCAAUUCUCGAGGACAGGUCAUUUUUCUUUUCUUUCUAAUUUCGUAGAUAUUUUAUGAAUUAAUGGAAUUAUCAAGUCUGAACUGAUGAACUUAACUAUCUGGUUCUUCUUACUUCUUCGUACUUGUGCUCAACUGCUCAAGUAGUUUAUGUAUAUGGAAGGAAGUGAUCUAUUUAUCUAUCUUCACUCUUCUAUCUGGGUAGUUGGUUGUUGUGUGUGUCACACGAUUUUCCGAACUGUCUUUUCUUUCCCUUUUCCGGUCAUCUAACCUUAAAUUUCGGAACUGUUUUUCACUCUUUCUCAAUUUCUUUCCUCUUCUGGUGACUCAGAGCAACACUCAAGUCAUUCAUAAGAGAAGAGUGAAGACUCUCUUGUUCAUUAUCCAAUUUUGUUUUAUUUGUUUUUUCAACAAACUAACUGCUAUUUAACGACCUACUAAUUAGCAGGAG